Molecule: ribosomal RNA, 1162 nt
Filed under: Prunus dulcis (almond)
Lineage: Eukaryota; Viridiplantae; Streptophyta; Magnoliopsida; Rosales; Rosaceae
Description: rRNA SSU_rRNA_bacteria
Rfam family: Bacterial small subunit ribosomal RNA
Source: Rfam by way of RNAcentral
UAUUCUGCAAAUUUGGACAAUGUUCAAGUUUACUGGUCUUCGACUCCCUCGCCUCCAAAGCCACCAUCUCCUCUUGUUUGCAAGUGCACCCCUCAAGAGACAGAAUGGUGCAUGGAUUGCUACAUUGACAUGCUCAUUACGCAUUGACAAGCUCAUGGCUGCUAAUACCCCAUAGGCUGAGGAGCAAAAGGAGGAAUUCGCUAGAGGGGAGGCUCACGUCUGAUUUAGCUAGUUAGUGAGGCAAUAGCUUACCAAGGUGAUGAUCAGUAGCUUGUCCGAGAGGAUGAUCAGCCACACUGGGACUGAGACACGGCCCAGACUCUUAUGGGAGGCAGCAAUGGGGAAUUUUUCGCAAUGGGUGAAAGCAACAUGGAGCAAUGUUGCGUGGAUGUAGAGGGCAUACGGGUCAUGAACUUCUUUUCCAGGAUAAGAAGCAAUAACGGUAACUGGGGAAUAAGCAUCGGCUAACUCUAUGCCAGCAGUCGUGGUAAUACAAAGGAUGCAAGCGUUAUCUAGAAUGAUUGGGCGUAAAGCGUCUGUAGGUGGCUUUUUAAGUCCACCGUCAAAUCCCAGGGCUCAACCCUAGAUAGGCAGUGGAAACUACCAAGCUAGAGUACGGUAGGGGCAGAGGGAAUUUCUGGUGGAGCGGUGAAAUGAGUAGAUAUCAUAAAGAACACCAACGAUGAAAGCACUCUGCUAGCCCAACACUGACACUUAGAGACGAAAGCUAGGGGAGCAAAUAGGAUUAGAUACCCCUGUAGGCCUAACCAUAAAAGAUGGAUACUAGGCGUUGUGCUUAUCGACUCGUGCAGUGCUGUAGCUAACGCGUUAAGUAUCCUGCUUGGGGAGUAUGUUCGCAAGAAUGAAACUCAAAGGAAUUGAUGAGGACCCGCACAAGCGGUGGAGCAUGUGGUUUAAUUCGAUGCAAACCCAAGAUUCCAGACUUUUAUUAAAUGAGAGAGAGAUCUACCAAGGCAAAUAAUCGAGUUAGAGCUGUAGCUAUGAGUGCUACUGACGGUCUAAAGAAAGGAAUGGAAGUGAUUGACACCGGAGCUCCUCUAAGUGUUCCAGUCGGCGGAGCUACUCUAGGAAGAAUUUUCACCGUGCUUGGAGAACCUGUUGAUAAUUUAGGUCUUGUAGAUACUCGCACAACAUCUCCUAU